Molecule: ribosomal RNA, 252 nt
Filed under: uncultured microorganism
Description: partial 16S ribosomal RNA
Rfam family: Bacterial small subunit ribosomal RNA
Source: RNAcentral
UACGUAGGGUGCGAGCGUUAAUCGGAUUUACUGGGCGUAAAGCGAGCGCAGGUGGUUUAUUAAGUCUGGUGUAAAAGGCAGUGGCUCAACCAUUGUAUGCAUUGGAAACUGGUAGACUUGAGUGCAGGAGAGGAGAGUGGAAUUCCAUGUGUAGCGGUGAAAUGCGUAGAUAUAUGGAGGAACACCGGUGGCGAAAGCGGCUCUCUGGCCUGUAACUGACACUGAGGCUCGAAAGCGUGGGGAGCAAACAGG